UUAACUAUUAUAUAGUACUCAGACAUCACUGAUAGAAGAGUUUAGGUCCUCUGGCGGGCACGAUCAGCCAGAGCCGAUGCCUAAAAGGACGGCCCGCCAAAGCAACAAAAGUAAAUAAACAUAGGGUGUAUGAUAUCUCCCUUUCCGAACAGAUGCGUUUUACGGCACCCGAACAGUCCGGUUACAUUAAUGAUCCUUCCGCAGGUUCACCUACGGAAA
RNAcentral lists this unclassified non-coding RNA (219 nucleotides) under uncultured fungus. RNAcentral's name for it is "sequence contains ITS1". Lineage: Eukaryota; Fungi. The record is from RNAcentral.